AACGAACGCUGGCGGCGUGCUUAACACAUGCAAGUCGAGCGGUAAGGCCCUUUCGGGGGUACACGAGCGGCGAACGGGUGAGUAACACGUGGGUGACCUGCCCUCAGCUCUGGGAUAAGCCUGGGAAACCGGGUCUAAUACCGGAUAUGACUCCAUGACGCAUGUUGUGGGGUGGAAAGCCUUGCGCGGCUGAGGAUGGGCCCGCGGCCUAUCAGCUUGUUGGUGGGGUGAUGGCCUACCAAGGCGACGACGGGUAGCCGGCCUGAGAGGGCGACCGGCCACACUGGGACUGAGACACGGCCCAGACUCCUACGGGAGGCAGCAGUGGGGAAUCUUGCGCAAUGGGCGAAAGCCUGACGCAGCGACGCCGCGUGAGGGAUGACGG
RNAcentral lists this ribosomal RNA (385 nucleotides) under uncultured bacterium. Its description in RNAcentral is "bacterial SSU rRNA". It matches the Rfam family "Bacterial small subunit ribosomal RNA", at positions 28 to 414 of the family's 1533-position model. The record is from RNAcentral.